RNAcentral lists this ribosomal RNA (311 nucleotides) under Mastigusa sp. Its description in RNAcentral is "partial small subunit ribosomal RNA". The record is from RNAcentral. Lineage: Eukaryota; Metazoa; Arthropoda; Arachnida; Araneae; Hahniidae.
AAGUAGUAAUAAAAAUUAAACUAAUUUAUUAUGGCGGCAUUAUAUCUAAUCAGAGGAACUUGUUUCAUAAUCGAUAACCCUCGUUAACUCCUACUUUUAUAAUUAAUUUAUAUACCGCCAUUACAAAAAUUUAUUAUAAAAUUUAUUUUUAAUAAUAUAUAAAAUCUUAGGUCAAGGUGUAAUUUAUACUAAAGUGAAAAUGAGUUACUUUAAAAAAAAAUUAAGAAUUACAAAAUAAAAUUUUUAUAUGAAAAAGGAUUUGAUUGUAAUAAAAAAACAAUAAUUUUCUAUGAAAAAGAAAAUAAAUGUGC